GAUACCACCCUUGUAGUACUGGGACUCUAACCAUAGGCCAUGAAUCUGGUCUUGGGACACUGUCAGGUGGGCAGUUUGACUGGGGCGGUCGCCUCCCAAAAGGGAACGGAGGCGCUCAAAGGUUCUCUCAGUACGGUCGGAAAUCGUACGUAGAGUGUAAAGGCAAAAGAGAGCUUGAUUGCAAGACAUACAGGUCGAGCAA
RNAcentral lists this ribosomal RNA (202 nucleotides) under Clostridioides difficile. RNAcentral's name for it is "partial 23S ribosomal RNA". It matches the Rfam family "Bacterial large subunit ribosomal RNA", at positions 2196 to 2396 of the family's 2925-position model. The record is from RNAcentral. Lineage: Bacteria; Bacillati; Bacillota; Clostridia; Peptostreptococcales; Peptostreptococcaceae.